CUUGGAGUGAAUCGACUGAUGAGAGCUGCGGGAACAUAUUUUAUAACUAUAUUGAUUAAUUAGAUAAUGCUGCUUAGCCGAGACAAUACCAAAUAUCAGAAUAGAAUAGACAAAAAGGAAGGUUAUGAUGAGUUCGUCUGCACUACGUCGUCUGCCGUUGCCUUGUACCGUGUGACAGGUGUGCGUGAGCGCAAAUGGGAGCGCAUGUGAAUUCGCCUCCAUUCGUCUGUAGAGCAAGAACGGAGCAAGUACCCUGAUGGAGCACAAUCGCCGAGAACGGGACGACAAAGAGGGAAAUAGAUAGCAUUAGGCAGCCUCUGAAGCAACAGUGGCCCCGCAUCCGCAUAGGAAAUACAAGACUAUCUUCGAUGCAUUUACACCACUGGACUAUACAAUAUCCUGUGCUUCGGUGAUUUAUACAUAGAAUCAUCAUGUGUUCCGAGUAGAUAAUUAUGUAGCAAUGAAUUAUAAUGUCUCAUGUCUUAGAGAACAAGAAAUGAAUAAUUUAAUGGUAAUUGAAAUGAAACUAUUGUCCAUACUCUUGUAACGCAUUAAUCACAACUAUACAACAAUGAAUUUAUAUUGUCUAUUGCUAAGUCUCAAUAUGUAUUCUUGACAAUGAAUUGAUGAAUAAAAACUCA
Long non-coding RNA from Athalia rosae (coleseed sawfly), 641 nucleotides. RefSeq lists it as uncharacterized. The transcript has 3 exons. Lineage: Eukaryota; Metazoa; Arthropoda; Insecta; Hymenoptera; Athaliidae. The record is from RefSeq and is a predicted model, not a curated record.